Molecule: ribosomal RNA, 846 nt
Filed under: Triticum aestivum (bread wheat)
Lineage: Eukaryota; Viridiplantae; Streptophyta; Magnoliopsida; Poales; Poaceae
Description: partial small subunit ribosomal RNA
Source: RNAcentral
AUGAGUUUGUGGGACAGAGCUGCUUCAUUGGCGCCGAAGAUAAGUUCGACAUCAACGCCAGCACCAACAUUGCUAUCUAUCGACGUUGAAAACCAAGUUCAAGAUCAACCUCGGCAUGGAUCGAUGUCGUCGCCAGUACUACCUCUGCCCACGGCUGCACCGCCUCUGCUCCCCAUCAUUCAGUUGGACGGAGAGAGCGGUUACCUCCGCUGGAAGGAGUCAGUGCUGCUCCGCCUCCACACUAUUGGUGUGGCCGACGUCCUGACCGAGGAGCGCCCUCCCGACGAGAAGACGGCUGCCGGCAAGCAGUGGGCGCACAUGGAUGCAUUGUGCCGUGGCCACAUCCUCGCCACGCUCUCCGACCGCCUCCUUCCGGUCUACGCUCCCCACGCCACUGCAGCUGCCGUGUGGCGCGCCGUGGCGCGCACCUACGAUCUGGACCUAACGGUGGAUGUUCCGCUUCGAAGCGUGCCCUAUGUGAAGGCCAUCACAUUCCAGUACACGGAGGACGAGCCCGUCACGGAACAGCUCGCGCUCCUGGAGGGCUUGACCACCAACGCAAAACUCGAUAACUCUACCUUGUGUUUCAUUGUGAAGCAGUUCCCGACAUUGAGUGAGAAGGUCGCCACGCAUGACUACCGUCUGAGCAUGGACGAGAUCUGGGAGAUCGCUCGGCGGAAGGAGCGGGUGGCCAGGGUACAGGAUAUUCGCCGUGCCAGGGACGAUCCGCAGACGUCAGACGGGCAAGGCAGCUUCUCAGAUGGGGGACCGGCAUCCAGAGACGAUGGCGGAGGAAGAGAGGACGGAGGACAUGAUUCAGAUGCGGCGAGCUUGUUAGAUGGUUGA